CUUCCAUACCUUUACAUCUUCUUCAAAUUAUGCAGCCGCCCAAGACAGUGCUGAAGAAACUUGAGAGCAUCUUUGCCCGAUUCCUAUGGGACUCUAAGGAUCAAGCACGACGUCUACAUUGGAGGAGUUGGAAGAAGAUUUGCCUUCCUACUGAUGAGGGAGGCCUCGGCUUUAGGAGAUUACAGGAUGUGGUGGACACCUUCUCCAUGAAGCUCUGGUGGUUGUUCCGAUCUCAGAGGUCACUUUGGGCUCAGUUUUUACUGGGCAAGUAUUGUAAGGGGAUGCAUCCUUCACUUGCAGCAGUUCCCAGUUCAGCUUCCCCUACCUGGAAGAGGCUGAAAUCAGUUGGGCCACGGACGGAUCCACACAUUGCUUGGCACCUUGGAGCCGGUCAGAUUUUCUUCUGGCAUGAUUGCUGGAUGGGCGAGACCACAUUGGCAUCGCUAUUCCCCCACAGACAGCACACAUCUGCGAGGGUACAGGAUUUCUUUGAUGACACUGGGUGGGAUUUCGGACGGUUAUUACAGGCCCUUCCUUCUCACAUGGCGGGACAGAUAGGGGCGAUAUCUUUAUGUGCAGAUGCCCCGGACCGAAUUGUUUGGAAAAUUACUUCGGAUGGUGAAUUUACCACCAAAUCAGCAUGGCAACUAGUCUAUUCGGGUCGCCAGCCUCAGGACUCAUAUCGACUGCUGUGGAGCUCUAUUUUGCCUGCCACUAUUUCAUUCUUCUGCUGGAGACUAUGGCAGGAGCUCAUACCAGUAGAUGUUGUUAUUCAGAGGAGAAUUGGAUGUCAGUUGGCUUCUCGUUGUCAGUGUUGUUCCG
Molecule: long non-coding RNA, 822 nt
Filed under: Olea europaea subsp. europaea
Lineage: Eukaryota; Viridiplantae; Streptophyta; Magnoliopsida; Lamiales; Oleaceae
Source: RNAcentral